GGAAAAAAUAAAUAUAUUUGAGGACUUGAAGGGGGGUGAGUGGGAGAAAAGCAGCGCGGCGAGAGAGCGGCCUGGUGCCGCAGAGCAGGGCCACAGCCCUCCCCUGGGCCAUGAACAGGCUGGUGAUUGCUCCUAACGAGAGAGGAACAGCAGUGGUGAGCGAGGGCAGAAAGGAGCUCCUUAGGCUGUUUCUGAUGUUUGCAGCAGCUGAAUUUGUGUGGUUUGGUAACAACAGACAAGGGCAAAUUGCAGUUCAAACCCAGCUAAACUGGACUCAUCGCUUCAGGACCUGCACCGCACUCGGGCAAGCAAAGACAAGAGAAAUGAAUGAGCAAACAUAGCUUGAAAGCUUGGUCCUGCUGAAACCAGUACCACACAACCAAGCUUCAGGAGGCACAGGAUUUCCAUGGGAAUAAGGUCCAUCUUCCUGCCCUGUGGCAGUCCCAGGGCUCAGACCCUGCCUCAGAAGGCUGGGAUGGGGCAGCACCUGCUCAGCCCUGAACCCAAGAGCUAAGGCAGGUUUCUGACACAUCACAGCUUUAAAGUCCUGGCUUGGUGCAAUGAAUGAAUGCCAGAAACCAAGUUCCCAAAAUUUUAUCCGUUUUGGGCCUUCCUCUGAGGCAGCAGAAAGAUAAAAUGUAUUGCUUAAUUGUAGGUCCAUAAUUAAGAUUUUUUUCUUGUUGCACAUCCUGCUGGUUUUCAGCCAGCACAGCAAUGUCAGAACCUCUCACUGCCUCUAACCAUGACUGUCAAGCACUUCUUUCAGCACUGGAGCUGAACUUUUCCCAGGAAACAGCAGAUGUUUGCCAACAGUAUCCUCCCUGAGCAUCCCCAAUUUGCCCCUGGGUUGCUGCCACGUGGCACUGACAGCAUGAAAGUCAAAUGAAGCCUUCAAACACAGAAUCACUCCCAGGCAAAACCUGCCUCAUGCAAUAGAAUAGCACCAGGUGUGAUCUUUCCCUGAUAAAACACUCUGGAUAAGGAUUUGAUCUUCCCAGGAACAGGAAAAUUCAAAAAGUUGCUAGAGGGACUAAGCACCUAAAUCUUUUAAUGAGGAAAAAAAUUAUCAUUACUGUUACUGUAGCAGACAGGAAGACAUUGCCAGACAGUAAAUCUGUUGUGGUGGUUAUUGCCAUUUAAUAUUGAGUCAAUAUAAGUAAUGUCUUGGAGUCUUUCCACAUAAACUGAUAAAAGAGCCAGGACAUGGGCUGCUCUCCAAGCAGCAAAUAGUUUGAACUUGAGAUUU
RNAcentral lists this long non-coding RNA (1246 nucleotides) under Cyanistes caeruleus (blue tit). Its description in RNAcentral is "lncRNA (ENSCCEG00000011541.1)". Lineage: Eukaryota; Metazoa; Chordata; Aves; Passeriformes; Paridae. The record is from RNAcentral.